GACAACAAAAAACUAGGAGUUGGUAUGAGGACGGUGAGAAGGCCUUUUCGCUUGGAUGAUCCUUCAGAUGAGGAGGAAACUUCUCAGGUACCAAAGAAAAAAAAGCAGAAAAUAGCACCAACAGAAACAAGUAGAAAUAUCUUGAAAGAAGUGGAGAAGCGCCAGACUGCGUCUACUAGUACGCCUGACACUCCAGCAACACAUCCAGCGGAAUGUCAAUGCAAGAAAUAUGAUCAUUUGUUGGUAAAAUAUACCAACUUGAAGCAGAAAUUUAAAGACACCAAGUUGUCAAAGAUUUAACCACUUACAAGAAUGAGGUUGUUAAAACAGGGAGUGUUGCUUCCUAUGUUUCAAAUGACCAGGAGGUUGAGCAAGGUGAUCCAUCUCCUGCACAGAAAGAAAAGGUCAAGCAGAUGUCGAGGUAGAUGUUGGACAUGGUAUCAUCAUGGAAAAUUCCAAAUUAAUGGCAAUCACUCAGGCUAGUGAUGGGCCAACAAAACUAGCAAGAAAUUUGUUUGUGGCACUUUUCCCUUUUGAUGAAGUGAUUGGAAAAUCACUUACGGGCAAAAAAAGUAAUGCACAUAAUUACAGCGUACAAAAGGAAAAGCUUGAUCCAAACCGAAUCGGUGCCAUUCUUUGUAUGUGUAGUUCUUUUCCAUUUUUUUAAUUACAACAAUAGUUAAAUGUUAAGGUGUAGUAUGUAAUCAAUCACCUGUAGUUAUUGUUGUGAUUGUAUAAUUG
Molecule: long non-coding RNA, 741 nt
Organism: Anneissia japonica
Lineage: Eukaryota; Metazoa; Echinodermata; Crinoidea; Comatulida; Comatulidae
Exons: 3
Source: RefSeq, a predicted model, not a curated record